Molecule: ribosomal RNA, 433 nt
Filed under: uncultured bacterium
Lineage: Bacteria
Description: partial 16S ribosomal RNA
Rfam family: Bacterial small subunit ribosomal RNA
Source: RNAcentral
AACGAACGCUGGCGGCAUGCCUAACACAUGCAAGUCGAACGAGACCUUCGGGUCUAGUGGCGCACGGGUGCGUAACGCGUGGGAACCUGCCCUUAGGUUCGGAAUAACUCCCCGAAAGGGGUGCUAAAACCGGAUAAUGUCUUCGGACCAAAGAUUUAUCGCCUUUGGAUGGGCCCGCGUUGGAUUAGCUAGUUGGUAGGGUAAAAGCCUACCAAGGCGACGAUCCAUAGCUGGUCUGAGAGGAUGAUCAGCCACACUGGGACUGAGACACGGCCCAGACUCCUACGGGAGGCAGCAGUGGGGAAUAUUGGACAAUGGGCGAAAGCCUGAUCCAGCAAUGCCGCGUGAGUGAUGAAGGCCUUAGGGUUGUAAAGCUCUUUUACCCGGGAUGAUAAUGACAGUACCGGGAGAAUAAGCUCCGGCUAACUCCGUG